UACAGAGGUGGCAAGCGUUGUUCGGAAUUACUGGGCGUAAAGGGCGCGUAGGCGGUUCGUUAAGUCCUGUGUGAAAUCCCCCGGCUCAACUGGGGAACUGCACAGGAAACCGCGUGGCUAGAGUCCGGAAGAGGAGAGUGGAAUUCCUGGUGUAGCGGUGAAAUGCGCAGAUAUCAGGAAGAACACCAAUGGCGAAGGCAGCUCUCUGGGACGGUACUGACGCUGAGACGCGAAAGCGUGGGGAGCAAACAGG
Molecule: ribosomal RNA, 253 nt
Filed under: uncultured bacterium
Lineage: Bacteria
Description: partial 16S ribosomal RNA
Rfam family: Bacterial small subunit ribosomal RNA
Source: RNAcentral